GGCUUAACACAUGCAAGUCGAACGGUAGCAGGAGGAAGCUUGCUUUCUUGCUGACGAGUGGCGGACGGGUGAGUAAUGCUUGGGAAUCUGGCUUAUGGAGGGGGAUAACGACGGGAAACUGUCGCUAAUACCGCGUAGUAUCGGAAGAUGAAAGUGCGGGACUGUAAGGCCGCAUGCCAUGAGAUGAGCCUAAGUGGGAUUAGGUAGUUGGUGGGGUAAAGGCCUACCAAGCCUGCGAUCUCUAGCUGGUCUGAGAGGAUGACCAGCCACACUGGAACUGAGACACGGUCCAGACUCCUACGGGAGGCAGCAGUGGGGAAUAUUGCGCAAUGGGGGCAACCCUGACGCAGCCAUGCCGCGUGAAUGAAGAAGGCCUUCGGGUUGUAAAGUUCUUUCGGUAUUGAGGAAGGUUGAUGUGUUAAUAGUACAUCAAAUUGACGUUAAAUACAGAAGAAGCACCGGCUAACUCCGUGCCAGCAGCCGCGGUAAUACGGAGGGUGCGAGCGUUAAUCGGAAUAACUGGGCGUAAAGGGCACGCAGGCGGUUAUUUAAGUGAGGUGUGAAAGCCCCGGGCUUAACCUGGGAAUUGCAUUUCAGACUGGGUAACUAGAGUACUUUAGGGAGGGGUAGAAUUCCACGUGUAGCGGUGAAAUGCGUAGAGAUGUGGAGGAAUACCGAAGGCGAAGGCAGCCCCUUGGGAAUGUACUGACGCUCAUGUGCGAAAGCGUGGGGAGCAAACAGGGUUAGAUACCCUGGUAGUCCACGCUGUAAACGCUGUCGAUUUGGGGGUUGGGGUUUAACUCUGGCGCUCGUAGCUAACGUGAUAAAUCGACCGCCUGGGGAGUAC
Molecule: ribosomal RNA, 847 nt
Filed under: uncultured Haemophilus sp.
Lineage: Bacteria; Pseudomonadati; Pseudomonadota; Gammaproteobacteria; Pasteurellales; Pasteurellaceae
Description: bacterial SSU rRNA
Rfam family: Bacterial small subunit ribosomal RNA
Source: RNAcentral